CCUACGGGUGGCAGCAGUGAGGAAUAUUGGUCAAUGGGCGCGAGCCUGAACCAGCCAAGUCGCGUGAGGAAAGACGGCCCUACGGGUUGUAAACCUCUUUUGCCGGGGAGCAACGGGCGCCACGUGUGGCGCCACUGAGAGUACCCGGAGAAAAAGCAUCGGCAAACUCCGUGCCAGCAGCCGCGGUAAUACGGAGGAUGCGAGCGUUAUCCGGCUUUAUUGGGUUUAAAGGGUGCGUAGGCGGAGCGUUAAGUCAGUGGUACAAUUGAGGGGCUCAACCCCUUCCCGCCAUUGAAACUGGCGCUCUUGAGUGGAAGAGAGGGAUGCGGAAUGCGUGGUGUAGCGGUGAAAUGCAUAGAUAUCACGCAGAACCCCGAUUGCGAAGGCAGCAUGCCGGCUUCCUACUGACGCUGAAGCACGAAAGCGUGGGGAUCGAACAGGAUUAGAUACCCUUGUAGUC
RNAcentral lists this ribosomal RNA (460 nucleotides) under uncultured bacterium. RNAcentral's name for it is "partial 16S ribosomal RNA". It matches the Rfam family "Bacterial small subunit ribosomal RNA", at positions 338 to 795 of the family's 1533-position model. The record is from RNAcentral.